Molecule: ribosomal RNA, 651 nt
Filed under: uncultured bacterium FukuN8
Lineage: Bacteria; Bacillati; Actinomycetota; Actinomycetes
Description: bacterial SSU rRNA
Rfam family: Bacterial small subunit ribosomal RNA
Source: RNAcentral
AGAGUUUGAUCAUGGCUCAGGACGAACGCUGGCGGCGUGCUUAACACAUGCAAGUCGAGCGAUGAAACACCUUCGGGUGUGAAUUAGCGGCGAACGGGUGAGGAACACGUGAAGAAUCUGCCUUCAACUCUGGGAUAACUCCGGGAAACCGGGGCUAAUACCGGAUAUGAGCCUCGAUCGCAUGAUUGGGGCUGGAAAGUUUUUCGGUUGAAGAUGACUUCGCGGCCUAUCAGCUUGUUGGUGAGGUAAUGGCUCACCAAGGCGACGACGGGUAGCCGGCCUGAGAGGGCGACCGGCCACACUGGGACUGAGACACGGCCCAGACUCCUACGGGAGGCAGCAGUGGGGAAUAUUGGGCAAUGGAGGAAACUCUGACCCAGCGACGCCGCGUGAGGGAUGAAGGCCUUCGGGUUGUAAACCUCUUUCAGUAGGGAAGAAGCGAAAGUGACGGUACCUACAGAAGAAGCACCGGCUAACUAUGUGCCAGCAGCCGCGGUAAUACAUAGGGUGCAAGCGUUGUCCGGAAUUAUUGGGCGUAAAGAGCUCGUAGGUGGUUCGAUACGUCGGAUGUGAAAAUCAGGGGCUCAACCCCUGACCUGCAUCCGAUACGGUCGAGCUAGAGUUUGGUAGGGGAGACUGGAAUUCCUGGUG